Molecule: ribosomal RNA, 1071 nt
Filed under: Campylobacter jejuni Cj2
Lineage: Bacteria; Pseudomonadati; Campylobacterota; Epsilonproteobacteria; Campylobacterales; Campylobacteraceae
Description: bacterial LSU rRNA
Rfam family: Bacterial large subunit ribosomal RNA
Source: RNAcentral
GUGACGCCUGCCCGGUGCUCGAAGGUUAAUUGAUGGGGUUAGCAUUAGCGAAGCUCUUGAUCGAAGCCCGAGUAAACGGCGGCCGUAACUAUAACGGUCCUAAGGUAGCGAAAUUCCUUGUCGGUUAAAUACCGACCUGCAUGAAUGGCGUAACGAGAUGGGAGCUGUCUCAAAGAGGGAUCCAGUGAAAUUGUAGUGGAGGUGAAAAUUCCUCCUACCCGCGGCAAGACGGAAAGACCCCGUGGACCUUUACUACAGCUUGACACUGCUACUUGGAUAAGAAUGUGCAGGAUAGGUGGGAGGCUUUGAGUAUAUGACGCCAGUUGUAUAUGAGCCAUUGUUGAGAUACCACUCUUUCUUAUUUGGGUAGCUAACCAGCUUGAGUUAUCCUCAAGUGGGACAAUGUCUGGUGGGUAGUUUGACUGGGGCGGUCGCCUCCCAAAUAAUAACGGAGGCUUACAAAGGUUGGCUCAGAACGGUUGGAAAUCGUUCGUAGAGUAUAAAGGUAUAAGCCAGCUUAACUGCAAGACAUACAAGUCAAGCAGAGACGAAAGUCGGUCUUAGUGAUCCGGUGGUUCUGUGUGGAAGGGCCAUCGCUCAAAGGAUAAAAGGUACCCCGGGGAUAACAGGCUGAUCUCCCCCAAGAGCUCACAUCGACGGGGAGGUUUGGCACCUCGAUGUCGGCUCAUCGCAUCCUGGGGCUGGAGCAGGUCCCAAGGGUAUGGCUGUUCGCCAUUUAAAGCGGUACGCGAGCUGGGUUCAGAACGUCGUGAGACAGUUCGGUCCCUAUCUGCCGUGGGCGUAAGAAGAUUGAAGAGAUUUGACCCUAGUACGAGAGGACCGGGUUGAACAAACCACUGGUGUAGCUGUUGUUCUGCCAAGAGCAUCGCAGCGUAGCUAAGUUUGGAAAGGAUAAACGCUGAAAGCAUCUAAGCGUGAAGCCAACUCUAAGAUGAAUCUUCUCUAAGCUCUCUAGAAGACUACUAGUUUGAUAGGCUGGGUGUGUAAUGGAUGAAAGUCCUUUAGCUGACCAGUACUAAUAGAGCGUUUGGCUUAUCUUUAAUAAAGCAU